RNAcentral lists this transfer RNA (72 nucleotides) under Stegodyphus mimosarum. It matches the Rfam family "tRNA". From Rfam's summary of the family: Transfer RNA (tRNA) molecules are approximately 80 nucleotides in length. Their secondary structure includes four short double-helical elements and three loops (D, anti-codon, and T loops). Lineage: Eukaryota; Metazoa; Arthropoda; Arachnida; Araneae; Eresidae. The record is from Rfam by way of RNAcentral.
GCCUUCGUUGUGUAACAGUUAGUACACUCGGCUCGUAUUCGAGAUGCCCAGGUUCGAGUCCCGGUGAGGGCA